Long non-coding RNA from Manis pentadactyla (Chinese pangolin), 493 nucleotides. RefSeq lists it as uncharacterized. The transcript is spliced from 2 exons. Lineage: Eukaryota; Metazoa; Chordata; Mammalia; Pholidota; Manidae. The record is from RefSeq and is a predicted model, not a curated record.
CUCUGGCAUUGUCUGGAAUGGAGAGAUUAGGAAUGAGGAGACAGGGAGAGGAGAGGACCCUGCCAGGUCCCUGGCGCAGGCUGCUUCUGAGAGGAGGAACCAGCACUAUUUUACUCUGCCAAUGUUGAUACUGGAAAUCUCAACCUGAGUAUCCUCAGUGAGAGCUUGCUGUUCUCUCCACCUGGAAGACUCUGCUGCUCCAUGCCUCCUUUCUAGGCAUCCAAAUGCCCACUUACUCCUUAUGCAGGUCUCCAGAAGUGCCCCACCUUCCCAGGCUUUCCCACACCACCUCAGCACUUUAUACCUCAAUCACAUCUCCCUCUGGUCUCUUCUUUGCAGCAUUUAUCAUCACCUGACAUGACCCUGUUCCACUGUUUGCUUGAUUGCAAUCUCUUCCCCUGCCAGAAUGUAAGAAAUAUCUUGAAAUAGUUCCUGAUGCCAAAAAGGUUUUCAUAAAUUUGUGAAUGAGCAUAUUAAAAAAAUGAUUAAUUGA